Molecule: non-coding RNA, 114 nt
Organism: Acanthosepion pharaonis
Lineage: Eukaryota; Metazoa; Mollusca; Cephalopoda; Sepiida; Sepiidae
Source: the annotation of a GenBank genome assembly
CUGCGGUCAUAUCACGUUGAAACACCGAUUCUCGUACGAUCACCGAAGUUAAGCAACGUUGAGCCUGGUCAGUACCUAGAAGGGCGACCACUUGAGAAUACCAAGUGCUGUAAG